RNAcentral lists this ribosomal RNA (612 nucleotides) under Ascomycota sp. UNEX FECRGA 2012E503. Its description in RNAcentral is "eukaryotic LSU rRNA". The stretch from base 253 to 406 matches the Rfam family "5.8S ribosomal RNA". The record is from RNAcentral. Lineage: Eukaryota; Fungi; Ascomycota.
UAGAGGAAGUAAAAGUCGUAACAAGGUCUCCGUAGGUGAACCUGCGGAGGGAUCAUUACACAAUAACAAGGCGGGUUGGACACCCCCCGCUGGGCACUGCUUCACGGCGUGCGCGGCGGGGCCGGCCCUGCUGAAUUAUUCACCCGUGUCUUUUGCGUACUUCUUGUUUCCUGGGUGGGCUCGCCCGCCCUCAGGACCAACCACAAACCUUUUGCAAUAGCAAUCAGCGUCAGUAACAACGUAAUUAAUUACAACUUUCAACAACGGAUCUCUUGGUUCUGGCAUCGAUGAAGAACGCAGCGAAAUGCGAUACGUAGUGUGAAUUGCAGAAUUCAGUGAAUCAUCGAAUCUUUGAACGCACAUUGCGCCCUUUGGUAUUCCAAAGGGCAUGCCUGUUCGAGCGUCAUUUGUACCCUCAAGCUUUGCUUGGUGUUGGGCGUCUUUUGUCUCCAGUUCGCUGGAAACUCGCCUUAAAGUCAUUGGCAGCCGGCCUACUGGUUUCGGAGCGCAGCACAAGUCGCGCUCUUCGCCAGCCAAGGUCAGCGUCCAGCAAGCCUUUUUUUCAACCUUUGACCUCGGAUCAGGUAGGGAUACCCGCUGAACUUAAGCAUA